Molecule: ribosomal RNA, 429 nt
Filed under: uncultured bacterium
Lineage: Bacteria
Description: bacterial SSU rRNA
Rfam family: Bacterial small subunit ribosomal RNA
Source: RNAcentral
AACGAACGCUGGCGGCAGGCCUAACACAUGCAAGUCGAACGCACUCUUCGGAGUGAGUGGCAGACGGGUGAGUAACGCGUGGGAAUCUACCUAGUGGUGGGGGAUAACUUCGGGAAACCGGAGCUAAUACCCCAUAAGCCCUUCGGGGGAAAGUUUUUCGCCAUUAGAUGAGCCCGCGUUAGAUUAGCUAGUUGGUAGGGUAAUGGCCUACCAAGGCGACGAUCUAUAGCUGGUCUGAGAGGAUGAUCAGCCACACUGGGACUGAGACACGGCCCAGACUCCUACGGGAGGCAGCAGUGGGGAAUAUUGCACAAUGGGCGCAAGCCUGAUGCAGCCAUGCCGCGUGAGUGAUGAAGGCCUUAGGGUCGUAAAGCUCUUUCGCCUGUGAGAUAAUGACGGUAGCAGGUAAGAAACCCCGGCUAACUCCGU